Molecule: long non-coding RNA, 549 nt
Organism: Neocloeon triangulifer
Lineage: Eukaryota; Metazoa; Arthropoda; Insecta; Ephemeroptera; Baetidae
Exons: 5
Source: RefSeq, a predicted model, not a curated record
UUCAGUUUGCAGAGUUUAGAAGUUUCAACCAAGUCUUCAGGAUGCGAAAAUUGUAGUGUUGAUAUGGAGGCAAAGAAGAACUUAACCCUCUUAAAUAUAAACGCGUCGAGUUGCAUCGACUACAUCAACAGGACGUACCUCUGCAAAUGUAGCGGUUUAAAGAUGUACGCCAUUUUUUUCAGGGAUAAUUUUACUUUUUCUUACCCUGGUUCGGUUAAGAAAUGCUGCGAGUUUGGAAUGCGGCUGUUGUCACCAUUGAAUUACGUCAAAGCUGUAGAAUGCAUUAGUGUCCUGCUCGCAAACGCAUCCUACCUUCCAGGAAUUUGGGCGGUCACCAAUGGGAUGGUGGUGGACGUGACGAGUGGGUUCAGUUUUGACUGCGAGAGCCAGACAUCUUUUUUCCCGCAAAAAUUGAUCCCGAGUCUUGAACAAAAAAUAAUAAGCCCGAACAAGGCCUUCGACGGUGGGCCGCUGGCCUUUUAUUUGUCUCAUUUUACUAACCGGCCAGAAUUUUCACCCAUUUCAGUGAAUACUAGAAAUUCUUUCAUA